This 492-nucleotide ribosomal RNA is filed under the name uncultured bacterium. RNAcentral describes it as "partial 16S ribosomal RNA". It matches the Rfam family "Bacterial small subunit ribosomal RNA", at positions 29 to 507 of the family's 1533-position model. The record is from RNAcentral.
AGUGAACGCUGGCGGUAGGCCUAACAUAUGCAAGUCGAACGGCAGCACAGUAAGAGCUUGCUCUUACGGGUGGCGAGUGGCGGACGGGUGAGGAAUACAUCGGAAUCUACCUUUUCGUGGGGGAUAACGUAGGGAAACUUACGCUAAUACCGCAUACGACCUACGGGCGAAAGCAGGGGAUCUUCGGACCUUGCGCGAUUGAAUGAGCCGAUGUCGGAUUAGCUGGUUGGCGGGGUAAAGGCCCACCAAGGCGACGAUCCGUAGCUGGUCUGAGAGGAUGAUCAGCCACACUGGAACUGAGACACGGUCCAGACUCCUACGGGAGGCAGCAGUGGGGAAUAUUGGACAAUGGGCGCAAGCCUGAUCCAGCCAUACCGCGUGGGUGAAGAAGGCCUUCGGGUUGUAAAGCCCUUUUGUUGGGAAAGAAAAGCAGCAGGUUAAUACCCCGCUGUUCUGACGGUACCCAAAGAAUAAGCACCGGCUAACUUCGUG